Long non-coding RNA from Helianthus annuus (common sunflower), 732 nucleotides. RefSeq lists it as uncharacterized. The transcript is spliced from 2 exons. NCBI's taxonomy places the organism in Eukaryota, Viridiplantae, Streptophyta, Magnoliopsida, Asterales, Asteraceae. The record is from RefSeq and is a predicted model, not a curated record.
AAAUAAGCAACACCUCCUUUUUUAUUUUUACAAACCCUAGAAGCACCAAAAACCUUUCGAUUUGCCCAUCCAUUCUCUUGAUCCGCACCUAAUCACCGACCGGCGGCGACCGCCCUCAUUCACGGAGAGAGGUCAUCUGAUAACUACAAAGUUACUCGAGAAUUGAGAGAACCAUUAUCAACCAAGCAGUGCUCGUUAGAGUGUACCAAUCAUCAGGAUGGCAGAGCCGCAGCCAGCGAUACUAGUGGGAGCUCAUCCCAAUGUAGAGCAGCAGGAGAUCCAAGAGAUGGAGAGGGUUGAUUCAGGUCACAUCCGUUGGUUGUUUGAUCAGGCGUAUGAUCAUGAGAUACGUCUAUCCCAUCAGGAGGAGUUAAUGGAGGAUUUGAAGACAUGGAUUGAUAAGAUGCAUCAUGAGUUGCAUGUUACUCGAGAGAUGGGUGAAGCUAUUGAUAGGAAGACGUAUAGGCUUUUGGCGCAGGCUUGGGGUGUGUUACUCCUGUCGGUUUUAGUUUUAUGUAUGUCCAUUUACGUUGUAAAAAUGUACGGACGUUGAGCGGGUUGUGCUCAAGUCCUAGUAUCUUAGUAUAUCUUUUGUACUAGGCAUCAAGUACUUUAGGCUAAUGUCUCAGGAUAUGCUGCUUGUAUGUACAGAAGCUUAUUAGUAAUGAGUUAUGUUGCUUGUAUGUACAUAAGCUUAUUGUUAUUAGUAAUGGAAUGAAAAUAUUUUGUUUU